AUACGGAGGAUCCGAGCGUUAUCCGGAUUUAUUGGGUUUAAAGGGAGCGUAGGUUGACGUAUAAGUCAGCUGUGAAAGUUUACGGCUCAACCGUGAAAUUGCAGUUGAUACUGUAUGUCUUGAGUGUACAAGAGGUGGGCGGAAUUCGUGGUGUAGCGGUGAAAUGCUUAGAUAUCACAAGAACUCCGAAUUGCGAGCGAGCGCUACUAGGUACAACUGACACUGAGGCUCGAAGGCGUGGGUAUC
Molecule: ribosomal RNA, 246 nt
Filed under: uncultured bacterium
Lineage: Bacteria
Description: partial 16S ribosomal RNA
Rfam family: Bacterial small subunit ribosomal RNA
Source: RNAcentral